GAUACAACAGAAUUAUCUAUCGUAUUCAAUCAUCAAACACAAUAUUCCAUCAUUUGAUCUCACUUCACAUU
Molecule: transfer RNA, 71 nt
Filed under: Schistosoma mansoni
Lineage: Eukaryota; Metazoa; Platyhelminthes; Trematoda; Strigeidida; Schistosomatidae
Source: RNAcentral